This 86-nucleotide transfer RNA is filed under the name Sporomusaceae bacterium. RNAcentral describes it as "tRNA-Tyr". It matches the Rfam family "tRNA". From Rfam's summary of the family: Transfer RNA (tRNA) molecules are approximately 80 nucleotides in length. Their secondary structure includes four short double-helical elements and three loops (D, anti-codon, and T loops). Further hydrogen bonds mediate the characteristic L-shaped molecular structure. tRNAs have two regions of fundamental functional importance: the anti-codon, which is responsible for specific mRNA codon recognition, and the 3' end, to which the tRNAs corresponding amino acid is attached (by aminoacyl-tRNA synthetases). tRNAs cope with the degeneracy of the genetic code in two manners: having more than one tRNA (with a specific anti-codon) for a particular amino acid; and 'wobble' base-pairing, i.e. permitting non-standard base-pairing at the 3rd anti-codon position. Lineage: Bacteria; Bacillati; Bacillota; Negativicutes; Selenomonadales; Sporomusaceae. The record is from RNAcentral.
GGAGGGGUUCCCGAGUGGCUAAAGGGAGCAGACUGUAAAUCUGCCGGUUUUCACCUUCGAAGGUUCGAAUCCUUCUCCCUCCACCA